Ictalurus punctatus (channel catfish) is the source of this 3005-nucleotide long non-coding RNA. NCBI's taxonomy places the organism in Eukaryota, Metazoa, Chordata, Actinopteri, Siluriformes, Ictaluridae. The record is from Ensembl.
GGCGAAUGACCAUUUAGGAACAAACAAACAUGUAUUAUGUAUGAACAUACAUAAUGAAAUGAUAUAUAUUAUGGAGAGCGAGCAGAGGUAGUCUUCCUGGGCUAUCACUAAAAUCAUUUCUAUUGUUUGUACAGAAAUAUGGUUUUAUUUUGGAGCUCAUUUGCACUUCAUAUAUAUUAGUAAUAUAUAUUACUAAACUCAGAGUCUUAUUCUAUUAGCAAAUAUUUCUGCUUUCCUCUUUGUAGAAAUAAAUGGUGCAAAAAUGUGCAAAAUUGCCUGCCAAAUGGAAUAAGACUAUGUGGGGCAGCUGUGGCUCAGGUGCUAGAGCGGGUAAUCAUAGGGUUGGCGGUUCGAUUCCCAGCCCACAUACCGCCACAUGCCAAAUUAUCCUUGGGCAGGAUACUGAACCCCAAGUUGCUCCUAAUGGCAGGUUAGUGCCUUGCAUGGCAGCUCUGCUACCCUUGGUGUGUGAGCGUGUGUGUGUGAAUGAGAAACAAUGUAAAACACUAAGGUUAAAAAGCCAUAUAUAUAUAUAUAUAUAUAUAUAGAUAGAUAGAUAGAUAGAUAUGAUCAGAAGGUCGGGGGUUCAAGCCCCAGCACUGCCAGUCUGCCACUGUUGGGCUCUUGAGCAAGGCCUUAACCCUCUCUGCUCCAGGGGGCGCCGUAUCAUGGCUGACCCUGCGCUCUGACCCCAACUUCCCAACAUGGUGGGGUAUGCGAAGAAAAGAAUUUCACUGUGCUGUAAUGUAUACGUGCACAAUAAAGACUCAUUAUCAUUAUCACUAUUUCUGCAGUAUAGCUCUACACUACAGGCUUUCCUGAUCUGAAAACAUGUCUCUCUUUUGCAUUUAAAUGUUCCAGCAUUUUCAUAUCUAGUUACCUCCAAAAGUGUAAAGGCAGAAUUAUUGCAUUUGAAAUAGAUUUCGUUCUGACUGCAGUGCAGGCGCGUCACAGACAUUUCGACAGCCGGGAUCUGAUUACAGACUGAAUUGAUUAGGCUUCUGUUCAUUUCAAUACAUCACAUAGCUCUACAACAGCUUCAUCAAAGUGAUGAUGCCUGUGUGAGGAAAUCAUCCAGCAAGCUUGUAGACUCUUUUAAGGCAAGCGGACUGUUUUUACCACUACACGUGUUAAACUGGCUCCUUACACCAGAAUAUUAUAAAGUAAAUCAAACCAGUUCCGUGUAAUUUUAGCGAAAAUGCUUAUAGUUUAAGGCGCCAAUGUAAGUUACAGGCAGAAAAACACAAUUUUGGCCCGAACCAUGUUUUCCCUGCUUUCUUUCUACACAUAUUUCUUUUUAUUUUCCCUAUUCUUAUCUUAGCAUAAUAUCUUUAAUAUUCUCAUAUUUCUCUAAUCGUCCUCAUGAGAUUAUUAUAAAUCAGCUAUAUGAUUAUUCACCCUGUUUUUAAAUGCGUUUACAAUUUUAAGCUUUAAUGUAAUUUUAAGUUCUUAAUUUAUUGGCAAAUAAUUUUGCUUCAUGGUCAAAAUAAAUUCUUUCAGCCAGUGGAGCAAGACGAUAUACAAAUGCCUCGAAAUGUCUAGAAAUAGCUGGAUAUAUGUAAAUAUGAGCAGUGUUAAUCACACGCAGGUGUACGCUCAUACAUGAAAAGUCUCUCUGAAACUCCGCCCUCCAUUCCAUUGACCACGCCCCGCCCCGCCCCUAUAUAAAUUAUAGGCAGAAAACCCCCAAAGUUCUUCAUCUUUUUUGCGUGUUUGACAGAAAUCAGCGACAGCUGAUGGGUUUCCCACACCGCCACACCUGCACCGUUCCUUUCUGGUAAAUCGACUUUCUGGUAAAAGCUGUAUUUUUAAGCACUAGGUCCACUUUAAAGUGAGGCCUUUUCUGUAUUUAUAGCAUUAGGAUUUGUGAUUUGAUUGACGCACAGAGCACAUUUGGUCUAUACCACCUGCUGUGCCGCUUUUGCUUUAGCUAGAUCAGACAAGACCAUCCAUGGGGUGCUAAUCUGAGGGCCACUUGAGGAGCCCUCCACUUAAGGGUUAUAAGAGAGAUGGAGGCUUUUAUUUAUUUAUUUUUCUUCUGCCCCCCUGUGCUGCACUUCGUAUGAGAGGCUCUCGAGCACACUUCUCAUGGAGCCAUUACGUCCUCGUUUAAAGAGUCGCCCAAUAACAGGACACAGGAGAGGCAGCCCGCUGUCGGCCUCCUGCGCACUCCACAGCCUGUAAGUACGGUCUCAUCGGGCGCCGAGUGCUGCUCUAAUAGCCACGACAAUUUACGGCUAACACGUGUCACUGAAUGAGAAUCAGCAGGAGGAGGACAGAGAGAAACCAACUGAGGUGGAAGACUUCUUCCUUUAUAAAGCUCCAGAGUAGGUGUGUAACAAAAUGGCUGUAUCUACAGUAUAUCUGUAUCUGUUAGUGGAUUGUAUUCGGAUUAAAACCUAAAGUGGACGUGGUCUAAAUCCUACUAUUUUGUCCCCACAAACACUGGAAAAAACACACAGGUAAAAAUGUCAGUUUGUUUGUUUGUUUUUUUAAUCCGUGCUCAUACAGUAAUUUUUAUAUUUUCUAAAUUUAUCUGGUUCUAGUUCCAGAAUAUAAACAGCUAUAUAAAUUAUUAGCCUAACUUAACCCACCAUGACCCGGACCAGGCCGUCAGUAAGGAUGCAAAAAAUGCGCAUCACAAAUAAAAACCUGUCAUGGAUUUCCCGGAGGCUACUCUGGACUACAGCUCCCAGCAGCCACUGCACUACACCAUGGUCACAUGACCACCUGCAUCUGAUUCACAUUCCAGUUAACGAGCACUAAUAUAUAUAUUAUAUAUUAUAUAAUUUAAACCUUUAGCUGCACUUGCAUCCAUCUCCACCUCUAAAUCAUGACUAACCUCCCACUAGCAUUUGUGACUAAUUUUUCCCACCUCUAGGCUCGACCAAAAAAUAAAUAAAAUAAAUAAAUAAAUAAAACAUCAAAUAAAAUAUUUAUAUCAUUAUUUACGAGAGUAAUUGUAAUGAAAAAUAUAUAUAGAUUAUUUAGAUUUUGAAAUGUGU